GAACUGCGAUAAGUAAUGUGAAUUGCAGAAUUCAGUGAAUCAUCGAGUCUUUGAACGCACAUUGCGCCCCCUGGCAUUCCGGGGGGCAUGCCUGUCCGAGCGUCAUUGCUGCCCUUCAAGCCCGGCUUGUGUGUUGGGUCGUCGUCCCCUCCGGGGGACGGGCCCGAAAGGCAGCGGCGGCACCGCGUCCGGUCCUCGAGCGUGGGGCUUUGUCACCCGCUCGAUAAGGACCGGCCGGGCGCCAGCCGGCGUCUCCAACCUUUUUUUCUCAGGUUGACCUCGGAUCAGGUAGGGAUACCCGCUGAACUUAAGC
RNAcentral lists this unclassified non-coding RNA (313 nucleotides) under plant metagenome. Its description in RNAcentral is "partial contains 5.8S ribosomal RNA, internal transcribed spacer 2, and large subunit ribosomal RNA". The stretch from base 1 to 105 matches the Rfam family "5.8S ribosomal RNA", at positions 50 to 154 of the family's 154-position model. The record is from RNAcentral.